CUGCUGCCUCCCGUAGGAGUUUGGGCCGUGUCUCAGUCCCAAUGUGGCCGUCCGCCCUCUCAGGCCGGCUACUGAUCGUCGCCUUGGUGGGCCGUUACCCCGCCAACCAGCUAAUCAGACGCGGGUCCAUCCCGUACCACCGGAGUUUUCAAGAAAGGAACAUGCGUCCCCUUCUGUUAUGCGGUAUUAGCACCUGUUUCCAGGUGUUAUCCCCCGGUACGGGGCCAGGUUCCCCACGCGUUACUCACCCGUCCGCCACUAAGGCCCGCGCCUUCCGGGUCUGGUAAA
Molecule: ribosomal RNA, 288 nt
Filed under: uncultured bacterium
Lineage: Bacteria
Description: partial 16S ribosomal RNA
Source: RNAcentral